RNAcentral lists this ribosomal RNA (405 nucleotides) under uncultured prokaryote. RNAcentral describes it as "bacterial SSU rRNA". It matches the Rfam family "Bacterial small subunit ribosomal RNA", at positions 355 to 774 of the family's 1533-position model. The record is from RNAcentral.
UGGGGAAUAUUGGGCAAUGGGCGAAAGCCUGACCCAGCAACGCCGCGUGAAGGAAGAAGGUUUUCGGAUUGUAAACUUCUGUCCUCAAGGACGAAGGAAGUGACGGUACUUGAGGAGGAAGCCCCGGCUAACUACGUGCCAGCAGCCGCGGUAAUACGUAGGGGGCGAGCGUUGUCCGGAAUGACUGGGCGUAAAGGGCGCGUAGACGGCUGUCUAAGUCUGGAGUGAAAGUCCUAUUUUCAAGGUGGGAAUUGCUUUGGAGACUGGAUGGCUUGAGUGCGGAAGAGGUAAGUGGAAUUCCCAGUGUAGCGGUGAAAUGCGUAGAGAUUGGGAGGAACACCAGUGGCGAAGGCGACUUACUGGGCCGUAACUGACGUUGAUGCGCGAAAGCGUGGGGAGCGAACA